This is a long non-coding RNA of Monodelphis domestica (gray short-tailed opossum), 9048 nucleotides long. RefSeq lists it as uncharacterized. Lineage: Eukaryota; Metazoa; Chordata; Mammalia; Didelphimorphia; Didelphidae. The record is from RefSeq and is a predicted model, not a curated record.
AGAGAUUCCCACCUCAGGAAAAUGAAGCUGAUUUAAAUAGAACAGCAGCAAUGGUAUCCAGACCCUGCUUCCAGGGAAGAUACUGAAUCUUUUUCAUCACUGUCCUGCGCCUUCUUCCAAACCGAAUAGAGGCCAGUAUGGAAAUGCUAUUUCCUAUCCAGCUGCUUUUGAAAGUCUUCAUACUCCUAGCUAACCAGAACAAGGAGGGUCCCUGAGGCCGGAGAAGCCUAUGGAAGACUCUUCCCCCAAAGAGUGGUCCAGUUCAGAAAGUAUCCUUUAACAUUCCCAGGCCUAAAAUCCUGUCACAGUCACAGCUAAUGUCUAUGGCAGCUGUGCAGUCUUGAUUUCCCUGGAUGGGCCGGUUUUUUAUUUUUUUGAAACCCUUAGCUUCUGUCUCAGGAUCAAUACCGUGUUCAAGGAAGAAGGGUGGUAACAGAAAUCACAAGAUUAUCUCAAAAGAUGCAGAAAAAGCCUUGGACAAAAUACAACACUCAUUUCUAUUGAAAACACUAGAAAGUAUAGGAAUACAAGGGCCUGCCCCCAAGGCAGAAGAGCCCUAAGGGCUAGACAAUGGAAGUUAGGUAACUUGCCCAGGGUCACACAGCUAGGAAGUGUCUGAGGUCAGAUUUGAACCCAGGAAGUCCUGUCUGGGCCUGACUCUCAGUCCACUGAGCCAUCCAGCUGCCCCUGAUUUUUUAAAAUAAAGUAUACUCCUAGCAAACUUUAACAAAAAUGAAUAUCUUUUUGUCAGAUUAAGCUUUUGGCCCAGAAGGUGUGCCUUGAGAAUAUAGGAUCUUCUGUUUCACUCAUUAGUAUAUCCCUGCCCCAAGCUGACUAAGCCCUCUGGGGACAAGGCACUGGGCUCAUGCUUCUUUGACUCAGACCAAAAGUUUAGCCCAGGCUGGGCAUUCAAUGAAUAUUUGUUUAUCCACUGCUUGAUUUGGUGAGUGAAUAUGGGGAAGAGGCUGUAUUAGAUUGAGGCCUCCUCGGAAGCAGGGGUCUUAUCUAUCUUCUUGUCUCCAUCACUUGGCACCAGGGUAGAAGCUUGACUGAAUGAACACCCCAAGGGCAGGGGCUGUGCACCUUGCAAAUGACAGUACCCAUCCAAACACAUACCGCCAUUGUCACUCAGGGUCAGAGCUAGAAAGGGCCUUUGAAUACACUCUGUAUAGUCCAGUCCUCUUGAUUUAUAAAAGAGGAAAACUGAGCCUUGAGAAAAAGUGAGUGGCCAUGGCUGCACAUCAAAUUAGUGUCAGAGGCUGGCCUGGAGCCCAUGUCUACUGGCACAAGUCAAUGCUCUUAUCCCUUUCUGUGUAGACUUGCUGAUCCUGACUCAGCAUCUCUCUAUGCUAGGUUCUGUGCAAAGAAAUUAAGAAAUGGCUUUGGCCAGUGGUGUAAUAGAAAUACUUUUGGCCUUUUUCAUGAAGGCCUGAAUUCAAGACCUGUCAUUUCCACUUACUAGCUAUAUAACUUUGGGGCAAAUAACUUCUUUUCUUUUCUUUCUUUUUAUUUUUUUAAACCCUUAUCUUCCAUCUUAGAAUCAAUACUGUGAAUUGGUUCCAAGGCAGAAGAGCAGUAAGGGCUACGCAAUGGGGGUUUAAGUGACUUGUCUAGGGUCACACAGCUGGGUGAAGUGUGCAAGAUUAGAUUUGAACCCAGGACCUCCCUUCUUGUCCUGGCUAUCAAUCCACUGAACCACCCAGCUGCCACCAAGUCAUUUCUUUUCUUUGGUUCUCAGGCUCCUCCUCUGUUGAAUGAGCAGAUUGGACAGGAUGUGGCCGAAAAGGCCUUUCCAUAUCUGACAUUUAAUAAGUUGAUGAGAAUAUGGAUGCUUAAAGUGUGGAAUGAUAUACCCAUAUUCAUCCAUUGCUGGUUGAUGGCUUGCCACUCUCUUUUGGCUUCUCUUUGCCAGCAGAUGGGGCUAUGAGAAUAUAUAUAUUUUUUAAACCAAAAGGUUAUCAGGGCAAGACUGAUCAUUUAAUGAACCCAUUGAAAGACUCACUGGCAAAAUCCUUUAUUCAUUCAACAAAUACUAUGUGCCUAGCACUGUGCUGGUCUCUCAGAGGGCAGUGGGAUGGAAAAAAAACUAUUGAAGAAUUAAUCAAUCAGCAAUAAUUUAUUAAGAGCCUACUAUGUGCUAGGCUUAGAAGAAACUGCAGUCUUGGCUUUAAGAGACUUAUACUUUGGGGGGCAGCUGGGUAGCUCAGUGGAUUGAGAGCCAGGCUUAGAGAUGGGAGGUCUUGGGUUCAAAUUUGCGCUCAGAUACUUCCCAGCUGUGUGACCCUGGGCAAGUCCCUUAACCCCCACUGCCUCACUUUACCACUCUUCUGCCUUGGAACCAAUAUACAAUGUUGAGUUGAGGAUGGAAGAUAAGGGUUUAAAAAAAAGGAGAGACUUAUACUUUGAAAAGCCCUAUUCUUUUCAGUAUAUCUUCAUAAAAUAAUAAUAGUAAUACUAGCUAGCAUUUACAUAGCACCUUAAGGUUCGCAAAGCACUUCAUGCCUAUCUCUGAAAUCUGGCCUCAGACACUUCCUAGCUGCAUGACCCUAGGCAAGUCACUAAAUUCAACUGCCUAGCCCUUACUAUUCUUCUGUCUUAGAAGUCACCUAGAUUCUAAGGCAGGAAGUAAGACUAAAAAAGCAAACAAACAAAAAAACCCCAAAGCUAUCUUAUUUGAUCCUCACAACUUUGGGAAAAUGGGUGCUAUUAUUAUCUCCAUUUUACAGAUGAAACUGAGGCAAAUAGAGGUUAAAUGACUUGCCAAGGGCCACACAUCUAGUAGAGGUCAAAGGCAGGAUUCUGACUCAGUUCCUUCUGGUCUCCAAGUCUAGGACUGUAUCCCCAGCAUGUGCUAGUUGUCCCUGCUGCCCCAUACCCUUAAUUCUUCCAGCUGUCCAGCAGUUCAGACACGAUCUGACCUGAUCUGUUUACAGACGGAGAUCAUUUUUUUCUGCGUCUUAUCUUCACUAACAGGACACAAAGAACUGUUGUUUAGCUGUUCCCCACUACUUGGGGUUAAUAAUGCUGGGGAUCCCAGGCCAAAGAAUAUAUCCCCUCAAGCCAGACGUCAGCUCUGGAGGGUGCGCUGUUUGGGAUUACCUGAAGCACUGGGCCUUCCAGGGUGGGUGGAGAUCAGAGAGCUCCGGCCGCUCAGCCGAAUCUCCCAGAAAGCACUCACCUGCUCCCACAGACUUCCUAUCUGUGUCUGGCUUCUCUCCUCUUCCAACCCUGCUGCGUUUUCCUAGCACAGACCCAGAACAAUCCCCGCCUCUUAUGCAUUUCUUCCCAGCUGCCUUCAAAGCAUCUUUGGUUCAAGAGGCGGUGUGAGGUAAAGGGCAUUAACUGCUAUCUUCCAGUCUGAGGUAGGCUUUGGUGAACCACUGCCUCUGAACCCAUUUCCUCCUCCACAUAAUGGGCGGCCCUCUUGCUGCCGCCAGCCGAGGACACUGUGGCCAGAGGCGACGGAGCCUAACCAAGGUUGUGCUCUGGUGGUCAGCAGCAGAGCUGGGUCAGCCAUGUCCUCUGACUCCUAAUCCAUGCGCCCUCUCCAUGGAGCCAUUUCUGCUUCCCGCACAGGAGCCCAGGGAGGAAGGUGCUUUGUAAAUGCUAAAGGGCUACACAAAUGCGGGCCGCCACCAUGCAGACUGUUAUCCUGGGAGGACAGGCCUGGGUGACGGUGGGCAGGCCCCGCACGGAGGGGGGAAAGGAAGUAAGAAAGAUGGAGUUAAGUCAGGGAGGCUUGGGGCGAGCGCUUACAAACCUGUCGGGGCCGGCCGAUGGUGUGCAGGGAAACCUCUUAUCUUCAUGGUCACAUGUUAUCUGCCGCUGGUCACCAGCUGGGUCUGCUCCCUACACCCUUCCCAAAGAUCAGCUGUGCAGUAUGGUGUAGAGAGCAUGGAAAGCCAGCCAGAGAGUCAUGAAGACUGGGGGGUUUUCCACCUCAUACAUACUGGCUCAGUGACCCUGGCGGAGACCCUGAACCUCAGGGUGUGUGGGUCAGCGGCCUCAAGGGGUCAUUAACCAGGGCUAUGCGGGAGGGAGGAUGGGAUUCCAUCCCACCCUCCCGGAGCUGUUUCCAACAUAGUGACAACCACUUACCCUCAUCCCCCCCCCCCAAUACUUUCCUCUGCUGUGGAAUUCCCAACUGUCCCCAUUCCGAGCCGAGCAUUUGCUCCUCAAAGCGGCUGUAACAUAAUUGCAGCCCAGCAAUCACUGCCACCGCCCUGCAGAUGCCAUUGGGAAAACUCCCCUUUUCCCCAGAGAUCACCUCACACUAUGGGAGGUGACCCUCAGAGGGGGGCUCUGCCAUCCUACCUCUUAUUCAUUUUAGGGGGGACAGAGCGAGUCCCACAGGAUGACCAGACAUCUGAUCUGCAUAGUAGCAUUAUCUUUCCCCCCACAAUUCCUCCAUCUUCCCAGACUUCCUGGUCACCCAGCUUUUCGGCCCAGCGCCACCUCUGACACCUAGUUCUUCUUCGUCCCUCAUUUCCAGCCGGUAGCCGAUCUUGUCACUUCCCCCCCAGAACACCUCUUCAAUCUGUCCCCUUCUCCAACCUCCUGACUUCGAGUCCUCAUCAAGUCCUUGGACUAUUGCAGUAGCCUCCAAUUGGUCUCUCAGCCCUUGCCCCUCUUCUAGCCAUCCUCUGCAUGAUUCCCAAAGAGAGCUUCCUAAAGCACAGUAUGAUCAUGUCAUCCCCCUUAGUAGCUCCCUAUUGAUUCUAGGAUCUAAUGUUAGUUCAUCUUUAUCUUGGAUAGCAUUAUUAGUAUAGCAAUACCUGUAUGUGAUUUUAAAAUAAGUAAAUAUACACAUAUCUGGAGUGUGUGCUGGGAACAUUUUUACUGAGGGGUGCAGCUAGGUGGCUCCAUGGAUUGAGAACCAGGCCUAGGGAUGGGGGGGUCCUGGGUUCAAAUCAGACACUUCCUAGUUGUGUGACCCUGGGCAAGCCUAACCUUCACUGCUUUUCUAUCUUGGGAUGUACACCCAGGACUAAUUCUAAGAUAGGAGGUAAGGGUUCUAACUUUUUUUUUUUUACCGAGAUGAGUGUAUAAUCCAAAAAGUCUGGAGCCCCACUGGGCUAGGCAAUUUGCACUGUAAGCUUCAGAGUACUUCCUCUGUUGUCCUGGGAGAGGAAAUUUCCUCACAAGAAGGUCUCUGAAAUUAUUGGUCUAUUAAAAAAAAAAAGCCAGGGAAGGGGAGCCACCAGGUUAAGGAAUAUGGAAGGAAAAGAAUCUAGACUUUGCCGGUCAGUCCUAGACUUUAGAGCUGGAAGUGACCACAGAGAUCAAUUUAGUCCAACCCUUUCAUUUUACAGAAACAGGUCUAUGGAAGUUAAGGAAUGCUCCCAAGGUCAUAUGGGUAACAAUUAUCACAACCAGCAUCCAGACCCAGAUGCUCUGAAGAGAAAUCCAGUGCUUUAGAUAUUUUGUCCUAAUUUGUAACUGAAGCCAAAGUAAGCAGGAGCAGGAAGGAAAAGAAGGGAGGGAGAAAGGAAGGAGAGUGGGAGGAAAGGGCGAGAGAAAUAGGGAGAGGGAGAAAAGGAGGGAGAAAUGAAUAGAGAGGGAGGGCAAGAGAGGAAGAGAGUAAUAGAGAGGGAGAGGGAGAAAGAUGGAGAAAAAAUGGAUAGGGACAGGGAGAGAAAGAGGGAGAGAGGAAUAGAGGGGGAGAGAAAAAAGGGAUGGAGAGAAAGGGAAGAAUAGAAAAGAAGGCAGGAGAAAGGGAAAAGGGAAAAGAGAGGAGAGAGGACAAGUGAAAGAGAGGGAGAGAGGAAAAGGAGAAGAUGAAGAGAGAAGAGGAAGAGGAAAGAAAGGGACGGGAGAGACAGCAGCCUCAUAAUGACCAAGAUAUAAGGGUGCUAGUUUUGGAGUCAGAGGGCCUGGGUUUGAAUCUUGCUGUCACUUUCUAACUGUGUAUCCCUUGCAAGUCACAACUUGCUUGGUCCUGGCUACUCAUUGUAAAAUGGUGACACUGUUCUGGAUGACUACUGAGGUUCCUUUUAGCUCUAAAUUUAUGAUUCAUGGACAUGGGAAGACUAGGAAGGGAGCUGGAAACUAUUCUUGUAAUAUAGUACAGGGGGACCAGAGGAAAAAACCAAAAUUGCUUGCUCUUAAUUAUUCCAGGGGUAACCUCAGCCAGCACUUUAGCCUUUUCAUUCCUCUUUCACAUCUAAAAUCUUACUUGAUAAAAAUCCCGAGGGAUGGAGGACAUCUGCCCACUUAGAUUUUUUUUUUUUAAAUCCUAUUUUACAGUUGGGGAAACAGCCUUAGUAAGGUUAAAUGAUAGUCAGGCAAGCGGCAGAAAUUACCCUAAAAUUCAGGUCUCCAGAGCCCAGUUGAGUCUUCUUCUCCCCUGGUGGCCUUGCUAAGCUGCUAAGCUGCCCAUCUACCCAUCUGGCAUCUCAUUGCUGGGGGCCCCUUUCUCUUUUCAGAUUUUGUUGUACCAAAGGUAACUAUUAAGAAGGUUAAAACCUCCUAUUAGAGAAAUUUGAGAGCAUGUCAUUUAUAUCACAGGUAUAGGUUGCUUUAUGCAAUCGAUGAGUUCUUGAAAUAUUUAUGCAAACUGAAUUAUAUAUACCCAGUGACUUACAUAAUUCCAGAGAUUCUUUUUUUGGAAAUGGUGUCAAGGGCCCUGGUGUGGGGACAUAGGGGAGCAGCUCACUCCGGAGUGGCUGUCCAAGAAGAUUCCUCCAUGGUCCAUUCUCUUCUCUCCUGUGAUCCAGUUCCCCAAGUGCCCUCCAUCUGCAAAUGAAUAUUCAAGUGGUCCUGUUAUCACCAGAGAGAUCAUUUUGCUGGGUUGGAACAAGACCAGGCUAAAGGCACUAAAGUCUGGCAGAGGAAGUCCUGGUGCUGACACAGGUUAGACUGGAUCCAUUUUCCUGACCCAGUCUGAGGCACUUCGGAAGUCAGUUUCUCCUCCUCCUCCCCAUGUCAUUCAUGAAAUCAUUAAAUUUAGAGUUCAGAUUGAUAGUUUCACAGAUGAGGAAACUGACCCUAUGGGAGGCUAAGUGACUUCUCCCAAAUCACACAGGAAGCUCCAGGAAUUGAAUGUAGUAGACCUUCUGACUCCAAAUCUAAAUCUCUUCCCCUUUUACUGCAUUCACUACACUGGGUAACUGCUGGCUAAUUCCACAAUCCAGGUGUUUAGAUUUUGGUCUUCAGGUCUUGGACAAUUUAAGAAACAGAUUCAGGGGCAGCUAGAUAGCACAGUAGAUAAAGUACCAGGCCAGGAGUUGGGAAGAUCAGAGUUCCAAUCUAGACAUGUCCUAGCUGUGUGACUCUGGGCAACUCACUUAACUCCAUUUGCCUAGCCCUUGCCACAAUUCUGUCUUAGAAUUGAUUCUAAUACAGAAGGUAAGGGUUUAAAACAAAACAAAACAAAACAAAGCAACAGGGUUAAAAACAAAAACAAAACAAAACCCAUACCAAAGUUAAAAGCAUUAAGUCCCAAAUCUGGGCCCAUUUGGACUCCUACUUUUCCUGGCAAUAUCUCUCUCUCUUUCUCUCUCUCUCUCUCUCUCUCUCUCACACACACACACACACACACACACACACACACACACAAGUCUUUAGUGGUGACAAGCUUAGGGCAAACUUCUACCUCUAGAUAAGGUUCAUAAAUCAAGGUUUGGCCCUUUCUCUCAGAGCUCCAUAGACAAGGUAACUUCAAUCACAGAUUCCCAUGUGAUAGCUUCUGCCUCAUUGGCUGGGUCCAAUAUAGGGUGCACUAUAGCAAAUAAUAAGAGGAGAGGCAUAGGAACAGAUGACUUAGUGAGAGCAAACAGACUGGGUGGCCAGCCCCUUGCAACAGAGAUUAGUGAGGGUUACCUCCACUGUUAGUUACUUUACCAGAAUCAAUGUAAAAAAAAAUAAAAUCUACAACUGGGGGACAGCUGGGUGGCUCAGUGGAUUGAAAGCCAGGCCUACAGACAGGAGGUCCUGGGUUCAAAUAUGACCUCAGACACUUCCUAGCUGUGUGAUCCUUUACCCCCAUUGCCUAGCCCUUACCAAUCUUCUGCCUUAGAACCAAUAUAUAGUAUUGAUGCUGAGAAGAUAAGGGUUAAAAAAAGAAAAGGAACAGUUGCUCUAUAGCCAAGGGUCUGGAUCAAAUUCCUGUUUGUUGUAUACUAAAAAAUCUUUUGCAAACUCUUAGUUUCUUCAUGUUAUUUUAAGUAUGUGGAAGGGGUGGGUGGUCAUCAACUAAAUUAGAGAAAAUAUUUAACUUUUCACUUCUGGACUUCUAGGAAAAACUUAGGCAAAGUCAACAGUACACUGUCCCGGUAAAUGAGAUUUGGAGGGCAUCAACGUUGUUAGGUGGCUGCCAAGCUGCUUGGGGGUUGAGGGGAAGGGCUAGUGGUUAUGCAAAGUGACAUGGGACUGAUUUUAAAUCAGAUGACAAGCAUUUCUUAGUACAUUUCAACCAAAUAUGUAUCCAGAGUGAAAUCAAUUGGGCCAUCAUUUCCAUUUGGUCAGUUAAUGAAGAGAGUGCCACCCUCUUUUCCUUUCCCUUUCUCCUCAUUGUUGGGGUAUAUAUAAUAGGCUCAUUCUAUUUGCUGAACUGUUGAACUGAACAAAACCAGCUUAAUGAUGACAAGAAUGUCCUAAUGAUUCCCAUGAACAGUGCUCUAUUUUAACACGACAGUUCUCUUUCUUCCCCUGUUAUCCCUGGUUAAUUACCUCCCCACCCCCACAAAUGUUGGCAGCCAGAGACCCCAUUCCACCAAUCACUGUCAGGUAGCACAGGAUAAGCAUUCAAAUUUGCUGCGCCUUGAUUCCCUCAGUUAUGAUCAUGACAUUUUCCACUACCUGCCUUCAUAGAUUUAUUGGGAAGAAGAAACUUUAUAAACCUUUGUCAGUCAUACUUAAGAGCAGUAGUCUGUCUGCUGAGGACAAAGUUGUGCAGGUUAGGGUCUGAGAUGCUUAGAGCUAAGCUUCCUAAUUGAAUAACCAGGUUCUCUUCCUUUUAGUUCAGCAAAAUUUUGCCUAGAAGACUUUGUCCUCUCUCCUGCCGGUGAUAAUGAUGUGGUAAAACGGAGCUCCUGUUCCCAGUGAACA